ACGGGAGGCAGCAGUGAGGAAUAUUGGUCAAUGGGCGAGAGCCUGAACCAGCCAUCUCGCGUGAAGGAAUACGGCCCUAUGGGUCUUAAACUUCUUUUAUAGGGGGAUAAAGUGAGGCAUGUAUGCCUUUUUGUAGGUACCCUAUGAAUAAGCAUCGGCUAACUCCGUGCCAGCAGCCGCGGUAAUACGGAGGAUGCGAGCGUUAUCCGGAUUUAUUGGGUUUAAAGGGUGCGCAGGCGGCACGUUAAGUCAGCGGUGAAAUGCAGGGGCUCAACCCCGGCACUGCCGUUGAAACUGGCGAGCUCGAGUACGGAUGAAGUCGGCGGAAUGUGAUGUGUAGCGGUGAAAUGCUUAGAUAUGUCACAGAACACCGAUUGCGAAGGCAGCUGUCCAGAGAUCUUCUGACGCUCAGGCACGAAAGCAUGGGUAUCAAACAGGAUUAGAUUCCCUGGUA
This 454-nucleotide ribosomal RNA is filed under the name uncultured bacterium. RNAcentral's name for it is "partial 16S ribosomal RNA". It matches the Rfam family "Bacterial small subunit ribosomal RNA", at positions 341 to 792 of the family's 1533-position model. The record is from RNAcentral.